GCCCGCCCGCCCGUCGGGGCGGGACCUCGCGGGGGCGGAGCCCACGGUGAUUGGGCGCGAGCGCGGGCCCCCAGUCCGAACGGGGCUGCGGGGCCGCGCAGGUUUCACUUCGCUCCGCGCAGCCUCCAGGUCCCCGUCUUGUAGUAGCACUCUGCGCCGCGUCGCCGCCACCACCGCCACGGAGUUCUCGCAGCAACCCUGAGCACCCUGCCCCACUGCGACCAGCAUCGCCUCGGGCUGCUCGGUUCGCCUCUCUCACGCCGCCACCGCCUCGGCGCCCUUCCCCUGGCUCUCGUCCCCCCAAUGUCUGACUCUGACUCUCGAACUGAGAAACGCAAGGCUGAGGUUUCGGGGCAGCUGCUGCGUUCGCUCUCUCGGACGUGUCUGGGGACCCCGCCCGGUCUGCGGGCGCCCUGCGGGCGAGGCCAGCCUCACGAUCAGUAGACAGCGAGACACCGAGUGCCUUCUCCGACCGCCGGGGCCACGCGGUGGACCAGUCUCGGAUAGCAGAAUCUGCUCCGUCCGUGGGGCCGAGCUGUCUUAACGACUCGGGCGUGCCCGAGCGCACCCCGACCCACUGGAAGUGCUGGCUAGCACUGCCGUGCCCUCGGGGGCCUGUUACUCAGGGUCGGAGCGAGCAGUGGGAGGCCCUCCGGACGCGGGGGCUGGGGUGUGGGGAGCGUUUGUUGCCUGCGGCAGCCACGGGUGCGCGCGGAUAUGCGUGCGGGUGGUCGCUUAGGUUAGGUGCGGGUCCGCAGCGCACAGGAAGAAACGGAGAAAGUUGAAGGAUGGGUGCUGCAACUGUGGAGGGGGCGGCUUGGGGUCCUCAAACCAACAAGCCUGGGCGGAGGCCGGCGGCCGGCGGCCAGCGGCCAGGACGGGUCUGGGGAUAGAGCUCUGCAGGCGCGGGGCGGGCGCGGGUCCUGCUUUGUUUCCAGGUGACCAGCCCUUUGGGGUGGUGGGAGCCACUGAGGCGCGCGGGCACCGGCGCGGGGCAGGGCAGCCUGGGCAGCGCCGAGGCCCCCGAGUCUCCUCGGAGGCUCCCGCCGCUGCCGCCGCCGCAGCCGGAGCGGUGUUCCGAGGCGAGUUUGUCAACAAUCGCCUCGCCUUUGGCGGCUGACCCGUAGGCGCCGCCCCCGCCCCCGCCGGCGAUUGGCUGUCGCGCGGAGCGAUCGCGCGCGAGCCAAUUGGGAGCGCGGGCACCCGGCGCCAGCGGCGUGGGGAGGUCGGCGGUGCCGGCGGCGGCGGGCGCAGUGCGCGAGGGGAGGAGCGGGAGGAGGCGGAGGAUGUUCCCGGCGGCGGCAGCUGCGGCCGGGGCUGCGCGGGCCAGAAGCGCGGCGCGCGGAGUCCUCGGCUCCCUGGAGGAGCGCGGCCCCGGGCGGGCGGCCAGUUGCAGGCUCAGUGCUGCCCCGGGGGCUCUGAACGCGAGUCCCGGGCUUUGUCUCCUGCGCUGCCUUCGUGGCGACGGUCCGGGGGCUACGGGUCGGCGGAGGGCGCGGGCCGGACGCCGCGGGGCCCGGGUCCGAACGCGACGCUUGGAAGGGAAGGGGAGGACAAAAAAAGACCAAAUGGCCAAGCAACCUUCCGAUGUAAGCUCUGAGUGUGACAGAGAAGGCGGACAAUUGCAGCCUGCAGAGAGGCCGCCUCAGCUCAGGCCUGGGGCCCUCAUCCCUCUACAGACAGAGCCGCAAGGUAAUCCCGAAGGUGGAGGGGACCGCUGCCCUCAAGGCAGCCCUCAGGGCCCGCUGGCCCCACCGGCCAGCCCUGGCCCUUUUGCUACCAGAUCCCCGCUUUUCAUCUUUGUGAGAAGAUCCUCUCUGCUGUCCCGGUCCUCCAGUGGGUAUUUCUCUUUUGACACAGACAGGAGCCCGGCACCCAUGAGUUGUGACAAAUCAACACAAACCCCAAGUCCUCCUUGCCAGGCCUUCAACCACUAUCUCAGUGCAAUGGCUUCCAUGAGGCAGUCUCAGGCUGUACCAGCAGAUAUGCGCCCGGAGAUAUGGAUUGCACAAGAGUUGCGGCGUAUUGGAGACGAAUUUAAUGCAUAUUACCCAAGGAGGUUAGAGCAAUAGAGGAAGUUGUCGUGUAGUUAUCAUGUGUUCAGUCCACUUAAGGGCGGUGGGGAAGCAUAUGAAACGGAGCGGUGGCGGCUGCAUCCUCGAAGGAGGAGGUGAGAGAGGCACAGGUCUUUUUGAAUAAUUACCAAGCAGCCGAAGCGCAUCCCCAAAUGAUUAUCUUACGGCUAUUACGUUACAUCGUCCGCCUGGUAUGGAGAAUGCAGUGACGACGGGCUCCUCGUGGAGUCAGGAUAUGUGCAGACAUUUCGCUUGUUCAGACUGGCAAGCGCCAGCACCACGGUCUCGCUAUGCAGCCAGUGGUCCUUUCCCAGAGGGCGUGCAGAGUGGCUGGCGAUACACUCCUGAAGACACUGAGCUGCACAUGAACUUGACCUUUCACCACACACGGCAGAAUUUCUAAUGGAAGUUUGUUGUGAAUGUAAAUGAGGAAAGAUUCUAUUUUUUUUUUUUUAAUGUACAGAUCAUGGUUCUUUGGAACAGGAUUUUAUGCAAAAAUGGUGUUUACAUGUGGUGUGGGUUUUUUUUCCACCUUCUUUAAUAAGAACAGGUUUUUCAAAAAGGAAAUGGAAACUUUUUAACCAACUUGUGAAUGAUUUUUGUACUAAAAUUUUGAGAACCUAUUGCCUGCUCUCAGAGGAUUAUGUAAACUCUGCAGUGGAAACUGAGCCAGCUAGUUUAUAAAGCUGCCUUAGUUUAUUUUUAAAGGUUACUGUACAGAAUUUUUAAAUGGGAGAGGUAUGAUAGGGCCCCCUCCCUUCCCUGCCAUUGUUCUUUGACUUUUUUUUUAUCGUCAUUAUUAAUACCAAAAAAGUUCUUAAGAAAUGGAACUGAUUGAUGGGGCAAAGGGUCUGUUGGCAGCCUGUAUUGAUACGCCACUCCCAUUUUGUAAAUAUUUUCAUACCUCCUCAAAUUCAGUUGCAUCUGUGGCAAAACUUCAGACUCUUUUGUGUUUUUCCUUAUCUUCUCUUGAGAUGGCUCCUCUAGUCUGGAUGCUGAUGCAAGAACUUGGUCCAGCGUAUUUUCUUGAGGAAAGGUAACGGGGUUAGAACAUGAGCUGGUAUCUGCCUGUAUCUGCAUAGCUCACUCGCUCGGUCUGGCUGUAGCUCACUAAAUGGGAACUGCUUGCCGUGAAUUUCCUUCUGGCCUCAACGGACCUGUCAUUCAGAAGCGUUCUGAAGAGUUAAUGGCUGUCAUAGCAUAGACGAAGGGUUACGUCCCUUUGCACCGUUGGCUCUCUGGACACAGGCUGUCCUGCAGUCACAGGAUGCGCUCAGCAUAAGGGCCCCCGGUGGUUAACAUGCCUGCUGCGACUGAGUCCUCCUGCAGGUGUCCGAGCUUCAGCCCUGUGGGAAUUGGCGCGGGCCAGGGGCAGGGCUUGGGAUGGCUAUUUCCUGGGCAUCCUGGCUUCUUGACCAAGUCAGAGUUCCUCUGGCCUCUGGUGCCUGACACUAGGUUCCCGCUCCUCCAAAUCUGCUUUGCAAUAAAGGCUUCAUUUUGCUUUCAGCAGUGCCAUAGAAAGCCUCGAUUGGGCCCAAGUCUGACAUGGUGCCUCAGCCUCUGACAGGCGUCGAUUUUCCUUGUCCCGUUUCUCUUGGGACAGUUGGGUUUUGUCAGGCCACCCUUUGUUCGGAUGAGCACCUCUGCUGCCUGUGGAGGUCGUCAUGAGGGGUAGACAUGAGUUGGCCAGUCAUUGCAAAGGCAGACACCUGGAGAGACCCAAAAAAGGGUUUAGGGGGCAGCAAAAGGAGAGGUGGGGGUCAUUCCAUGGAUCCUGUAUCUCACACUGUUACAUUAAGUGGAAAAAUCCAUUCAUUUGUAUCUUCAUAAUUUUAUAUAAAUAUAUAUAUACAUAUAUGUAUAUAUUGCAUAUACACCUUUUCCUUUAGGUAGAGAUACUUGAUUCCAAAUACUCUUCCUUUUUAAAAAUGUCCUUUUCCCCAAAUAUCUUGUUGGGGUCUUGCAUAUUUUUAAAGCUGUGUUGAGUCUUGCUUGUGUUCUUGACCUAUCUUGCACCCCUUUGUCAGGUCCUAAAGGCCACACGGUUGUAAGGUGACAGGAUGCAGCUGUGGACCUGCUAGGCACACACCAAAGACAUACUUGGUUCUGGGCCCUUCCUUCCCAGGACCUCCGUGCUCAGCACCAGCUUCUGUGGCUGGAGCACUUUAUUCUUUCAAUACUGCGGCUCCCUGGGAAUGGUGCCUGAGAGCUGUGCUCCUCCCACAUGAGCAAAUUUCCCUCUGGCUUGGCGGCAUGCAGGCCUCCCCACCGGCUGUGAAAGCAGCUCAUGGGGAAUUGAGAGAUGCUAUGAAUUGUAGAAGUACUAGACAGUGGGAUCUUGCACCAGAACUUGAGAGCGAUGGCUGGAUGUCUCUGUACUGUACUGAGCUGUUUAUCAAGAUGCCUCCCUGCAGAAAGGUUACUGACUGUGGUAUACCUUUUACUUUUCCCUUCUUUACCUUUUUGUAGAAAAAUACAGCAGAUCGCUUUUCUUAAAACUUAAUGCGGGUUUUGUGCCUUGACUGCCUCUUCUCACACGAGGUUUGUAGAAAGUGUCCUGUGACUUUUCACAGAAAUGCAAUAAAACACAAAUUAUCAUGAGCGAUUCUUCAGAUUAUCUAUGUUCCUGCCUAGAGAUAGGUUUAUCAAUUUUUUUUCUUUUUUGGUUGUGGAGAACCCAGGUAAAAAUUCAUAAGGAUUAAAAAAGUGUACACAGUAGAAAACAGCUUUCUCCUGUUUCCCCUUCUUGAUGUUGUAUAUAUUUUGACUAUUUAUUAGAUUAGGAAGUCAUAUUUUACUUAUCAACUGAGCCAAAUGUCUGUGUGCAAUUGUGGUUUCUUUUAUCUUGUAAAAUUUUGUACAGCAUGAGUGAGUAAAAGUCACUGUUUUUACUUUCUCAGAUUUGAGGAUUGUAAAUAUUGUAGAUUCUUUUUCUGUGUAAUGUGUCCUACUGUUUCAUAAUGCUGUAACCUGUAGAAAUAUUGUAUAUUUAUUUCCUGCUUAUUUAAUGUCUGAAAUUCAGAAAAGUAUUGACCUCCCCAACCCCUUCCCCUGCCUUCCCAAUAAUUGCUUUAUUUCCAAGGUGGUGACUAGUCAGCUCACUGCAGCCUUCCCAGGGUGGCCCUGCAGCUUUGGAUGUUGGUAUUUCUGGUCAGAUGUGUUUAAGUUCUUGAGACUUGCUGUCUUUAGGUGAAGUUUUUGUUUGGACACCAGUGAGAGUCCCUAAAUCUGGAAGGUGACAGAAUUCUGCUCUAAGAAAUGCCCAAUGACUCCGUUCGUUCCAAAAGAGCUAGUGGCUCAGAGAGGCAAAUCCUAUGAACUAUAUAGGCUGUUAUCUUUUUUUUUUUUAAUGUAUUGGGACAGAUCUUCCCUUUGACAAUUUAUCCCUGACAACUCAGUGUUCAGAAAAAUAAAACCAUGUCCCUCCUAGAUGUGCUACUACAAGACUGUCCAGGACAAGGGCCAGGCGAGACGGAGGGACAGCUGGGACAGGUCGCCCUGCUUCAUUCAAGAGCAACAUCAGAACCACCUUGCUGCCACCCCUUGUCGGCAACUGAUGCGCAGUUGGAUUUCCCCCACUGCUGUGCUGGGAGGCGUGGACUAAGUUGUCUUCAGGGGCUAGUUGUACAGCCCCCUAGCCCUGAACCAUUUGGUCCCCACGUUUGGUCAGCCUUGCUUUCUCAGGCUGAUGGCUUCCUUCCACUCCUUCAUGGCCUUCAAGAGAAGUUGGGGGCCCCGCUAGACUGGGUGUAAAGAUGUGAAAGCUUGUGGAAGCUUUAGAGGCUUCUGAGUGCCUCUGUGUUGCUGGUUCUGUUGUCCCUGCUGAGUUAGCCUGGUGCCUAUGUGUGUUCGCUGCACAUGCAUGUGUGCAGGCAUGUGUCCACACGUGACGCUAAACAAGCUGGGAUAACUCCUGCUCUCCCAGGGGCAUGGUGUGCAAGAAGCAUCCAAAGCUCCCACCUUAGUGAGUUGACUACUUUUCCUUGGAAUCUGAUUUUAGAAACUCUUACUCCUACAUUGUAUGUCCAGGUUCUGUGACCACUAGUUACUGUAUCAACUCAUCAGGUACACCUUUAUAAAUAGCACUGACCUGUCUGCAUACGACCCAUCACUAACCUGUUCCCUAGAGCCCAGCGUAUGUAGCAUUUGUACCGCAGUUUCCCUGGCUUACUUGUGUUUUGCACUGAUGAAUUUUGACAGGGGUAAUUGCCACUUUACUUGUGCAAUAUACUGCUGUAAAUAGCUGCAGAUUUUUUUUUUAAGAGACUCAAUCUUUUAUGUUCUUGACGAAUUUAUAUAAAUAAAACUUUCAACUAGU
Molecule: RNA transcript, 6393 nt
Organism: Manis pentadactyla (Chinese pangolin)
Lineage: Eukaryota; Metazoa; Chordata; Mammalia; Pholidota; Manidae
Gene: BCL2L11
Gene name: BCL2 like 11
Exons: 6
Source: RefSeq, a predicted model, not a curated record